Molecule: long non-coding RNA, 242 nt
Organism: Mobula hypostoma (lesser devil ray)
Lineage: Eukaryota; Metazoa; Chordata; Chondrichthyes; Myliobatiformes; Myliobatidae
Exons: 3
Source: RefSeq, a predicted model, not a curated record
ACUCUCGGGAGCUUGAGACCAAUCCGCGUUCUCCCCGGAUCGGGUUUCACUAUAAGAUCAGGGCAUUUUCAGCUGGUGGGGUGCAGCAGAUCCGACUGCUUGUCAAAGCCACCAAAGGAUCUCCUUUCCAUCCUUCGCGAUCUAAAGGGCCCAGCUCAAAAUGUCUGACACUGAAGAAGUGUACGAAGGUAAGUCCAUUCAGUCAUUUGUAAGCAAAAUGCGGUCAGGUGAGUUUAUAAUCU